AACGAACGCUGGCGGCAGGCCUAACACAUGCAAGUCGAACGCUCCGCAAGGGGAGUGGCGCACGGGUGAGUAACACGUGGGAACCUACCUUCUGGUACGGAACAACCAAGGGAAACUUUGGCUAAGACCGUAUACGACCUCCGGGUGAAAGAUUGAUCGCCGGAAGAGGGGCCCGCGUCCGAUUAGGUAGUUGGUGAGGUAACGGCUCACCAAGCCUUCGAUCGGUAGCUGGUCUGAGAGGAUGACCAGCCACACUGGGACUGAGACACGGCCCAGACUCCUACGGGAGGCAGCAGUGGGGAAUAUUGGACAAUAGGCGCAAGCCUGAUCCAGCCAUGCCGCGUGAGUGAUGAAGGCC
RNAcentral lists this ribosomal RNA (358 nucleotides) under uncultured bacterium. RNAcentral's name for it is "bacterial SSU rRNA". It matches the Rfam family "Bacterial small subunit ribosomal RNA", at positions 29 to 416 of the family's 1533-position model. The record is from RNAcentral.